This is a long non-coding RNA of Girardinichthys multiradiatus, 556 nucleotides long. RefSeq lists it as uncharacterized. The record is from RefSeq and is a predicted model, not a curated record. NCBI's taxonomy places the organism in Eukaryota, Metazoa, Chordata, Actinopteri, Cyprinodontiformes, Goodeidae. The transcript has 2 exons.
UUUCAGUUAGUGUGCAAUGAAUCUAAAAUAUAUGAAUGUUAAAUUUUCAUCAUGACAUUAUGGAAAAUAAUGAACUUUAUCACAAUAUGCUAAUAUUUUGAGAAGGACCUGUAUUUAGGAGCCUGCCACCAGUCCUUCGUUGCCCGAGUGUUGUUGCCCAAGUGGUAAUAACCAAGCCAGUGAAACUUUGUCUGUCUGACUUAAACCUGAGCUAACAUUGUUGCUAUUUCUGCUUCCUGCUAGAAACCUGUGAGGUGUGGGCCAAACCUUCCAACCUGGACUCGAACUACCUGUACCCUCAACUACUGUUUGUGUAUUUGGAUUAUUCAUCUCAAGACUGUGGUUCGGUUCCUAACCCUCCUACUCCUGCCCUUGUGAGUACUCUGGCUGGCUCUGGACUAUAAUCUUGGACAACCAUUCUGGAUUGCCUGACUUCCAAACCCUGAUGUACCUUCCCCAUAUUUCCCUGCCCUGUGAUCAAUGGACCCUGAAGUCCCUGUCACCUUGGAUUCCGGAGGAACUCUAUUCGUGUUGCAAAAUAAAUCUUUGAACCUUA